AACGUGGUUUAGUUCUAUGCUAUCAUUAGUCUCUCCAGUUUCCAUUGUUGUCACGAGCUAUCAUAAGAUUAUGUCUUGACAGUUUGACUCAAUUAGGUUUGGUAGAUUUAGUUUCACAGUUCCCACAAGGUUUUUUGUCUCUUCCACAGAAGUUAAGGAUUCGUAAUUGUCUUGUUCUGGGGGAUCAUAUUCAUGAUUGGUGUUGAGACAAAUUGUUCUUGGUAUUAGCUAUGAGGGAGCUCUUAAGAAAACUAUUAUGGUUUUUAGCCUUUUAAGUGGAACUAAAAAAGCCUCACUAAUUAAAAAUGCUGCGUAGCCCAUAAAGUUUCCCCAAAUAUAUUUCCCUGAAUCGUAAUCGUCAAUAUUUCUCGAUUAGUAUGUCGAUUACGUGGUUUAAUGGCUUCUUCACGUUUUGAGAUCAUCAUCGCCGUCCAGAUUCGCCAUUACAAGUGAGAUGGAUAACACCGUUUUUUGGUUUGUAUUGGGGAUAACAAAGCUACCUAGGAUUUAAGCUAUUUGCUGCCGUUGAUGGAACUAAUCGGAUAUGAGCCAAUCACCACCGCAACCAUUCAGGUCACCACUCUCUCUUCUUUGUUUGUACGCAUGUAUCUGUAUGUAUCUAUCACAACUCAAUUCUCAAUUGUGUGUUUAAUUUCUUUCUUUCACUUUUGUUGCAAUUCAAGUUUCAAUUAUAGUCAGAUCUGAUAUUGAUUCAUUCAAGUACUACUAUCAUGCAUGUUUGUUUGAUUUUAUCUAUUAAACUAUCGAGAUUCUCAUCGUGUGGUUUAAUUGUAAUGUUUUGGUGAUGGUGAUUGGUGAGCAUGAAUCUAGGUGAUAUGCAAUCGUAAGAAAUUCUAUUUUAACUUUUUGAUAAAACUGAAAUGGAAUUGCAUUAUAAUGUUUUAACUUCUGUUAUCGGCGUAGAUCUAUGAUUGGAUAAGUACAAUUUCUACGAGAUAUCUGUUUCACUCGGCGUGUCAGCUGUAAAACUUGAAUUUUCUGUUUCUGAAAAUACGAGAUUGAUUUGGGAGAUAGUUCAUAAUUAUGUGGAUUUGGAUGUUGUGAAUCAUGGUGUAACGGAGGUUACGUUUUGAAUCCAUAAUUAUCAUGAUUUUUAGAUAUUUAGGCAAUAAUUUAUUCUUAAAUUAGAUUGGCUUUAAUUACGAGAUCUCUUUUAUUCUCUAUUCAUUAUUUGUCUCCAUUAGCUUUAAUUAGAACAGUUACAUUUUGAAUUGUAAUUGUGAUUGGAUAAAUAUUCUUUAUGAAUAUUUAAAUACCUUUAAGUACCAUUUAUGGGAGUCAUUAAUCAUGACUUUAUUGUGCCUUUAAUGGCUUUAUUGUGCCUUUAAUGGGGCUUUAUUGUGCCUUUAAUGGCUUUUUGUUCCAAUUUGGAUGCCAUUUUUAUGGCUUAUUUGACUUGUUGAUGAUUAUAUAUAAUAUAUUUAAUCAUGUUUUAAACUUUAUUUUAUUCAUCACUUAAAUUAUUAAUUUUUAAUGUGUCUAACCAAAGGAUUUUCCUUUGGUUAGAAAUUAGUUUAUAUUUCUAUAUUUUUUAAUUUAUUUUUGUUAUAUAUACUCUUUUGUUUUGUUUUUAUUAGAUUUUCUAUCAUUUUUACAUUACAUUAAAUAUAUAUAUAUAUGUGUGUGUGUGUGCGCGCGCGCGUGUGUGUGAUUUACUUGUAUACAGAUUUAUGUUUUUUUGGUUUGUUUUGUUUUUUUCAGGAUAAUUUGGAAGCGAGCUGGUUCGUGGCUUAUGGGUGUUCUUUUCUCAUUCAUUUAAGCUUUAUUGUCUAAGCGUCCGGAGUUGUGCUUGCAUGACUUUCGGUUAGAUGAUAAACUUUCUUGAAAGAAAGAUAUCCCGGAUGCGGUUUAUUGUAUUUCGAUACAAUUCAUCUACGUAUAUGUAGACCUUACAAAAAAAAAAAAAAAAAAAAAAAAUAUUUUUCUUCUUCUUUACCAAGACACUGUCAAUCUUUAUUGUUCUUCGGCUAGCACUUCAAACCAAAUGUAACACUUUUUUUAGAUAAACCGAGCUAACUUUUAUUUACAAAGAGUACCUUUUUUUUUUUUGGUCAUAAUUUACAAAGAGUACUUGAAUAAAAAAGUAUACAUAAAAAGAGUUGAAAUAUCAGACGCAC
This 2138-nucleotide long non-coding RNA is filed under the name Daucus carota (carrot). RNAcentral describes it as "long non-coding RNA (DCAR_LNC003424)". Lineage: Eukaryota; Viridiplantae; Streptophyta; Magnoliopsida; Apiales; Apiaceae. The record is from RNAcentral.